GAUGAAUGCUGGCGGCGUGCCUAAUACAUGCAAGUCGAGCGAACAGAUGAGGAGCUUGCUCCUCUGACGUUAGCGGCGGACGGGUGAGUAACACGUGGAUAACCUACCUAUAAGACUGGGAUAACUUCGGGAAACCGGAGCUAAUACCGGAUAAUAUAUUGAACCGCAUGGUUCAAUAGUGAAAGACGGUUUUGCUGUCACUUAUAGAUGGAUCCGCGCCGCAUUAGCUAGUUGGUAAGGUAACGGCUUACCAAGGCAACGAUGCGUAGCCGACCUGAGAGGGUGAUCGGCCACACUGGAACUGAGACACGGUCCAGACUCCUACGGGAGGCAGCAGUGGGGAAUCUUCCGCAAUGGGCGAAAGCCUGACGGAGCAACGCCGCGUGAGUGAUGAAGGUCUUCGGAUCGUAAAACUCUGUUAUUAGGGAAGAACAAAUGUGUAAGUAACUAUGCACGUCUUGACGGUACCUAAUCAGAAAGCCACGGCUAACUACGUG
This 497-nucleotide ribosomal RNA is filed under the name uncultured bacterium. RNAcentral describes it as "partial 16S ribosomal RNA". It matches the Rfam family "Bacterial small subunit ribosomal RNA", at positions 28 to 507 of the family's 1533-position model. The record is from RNAcentral.